This 250-nucleotide ribosomal RNA is filed under the name uncultured bacterium. RNAcentral describes it as "partial 16S ribosomal RNA". It matches the Rfam family "Bacterial small subunit ribosomal RNA", at positions 524 to 773 of the family's 1533-position model. The record is from RNAcentral.
GACGGAGGGGGCAAGCGUUGUCCGGAAUUACUGGGCGUAAAGGGCGCGCAGGCGGCUUUCUAAGUCGGUUGUGAAAGCCCCGGGCUCAACCCGGGGAGGCCAGCCGAUACUGGGAGGCUUGAGUGCAGGAGAGGGAAGUGGAACUGCCGGUGUAGCGGUGGAAUGCGUAGAUAUCGGCAGGAACACCCGCGGCGAAGGCGGCUUCCUGGACUGCUACUGACGCUGAGGCGCGAAAGCCAGGGGAGCGAAC